UACGGAGGGGGCUAGCGUUGUUCGGAAUUACUGGGCGUAAAGCGCACGUAGGCGGCUUUGCAAGUCAGAGGUGAAAGCCCGGGGCUCAACCCCGGAAUUGACUUUGAGACUGCAUCGCUAGAAUUGUGGAGAGGUAAGUGGAAUUCCGAGUGUAGAGGUGAAAUUCGUAGAUAUUCGGAAGAACACCAGUGGCGAAGGCGACUUACUGGACACAUAUUGACGCUGAGGUGCGAAAGCGUGGGGAGCAAACAGG
RNAcentral lists this ribosomal RNA (253 nucleotides) under uncultured bacterium. RNAcentral describes it as "partial 16S ribosomal RNA". It matches the Rfam family "Bacterial small subunit ribosomal RNA", at positions 524 to 776 of the family's 1533-position model. The record is from RNAcentral.